RNAcentral lists this long non-coding RNA (1630 nucleotides) under Equus caballus (horse). Its description in RNAcentral is "lncRNA (ENSECAG00000044067.1)". Lineage: Eukaryota; Metazoa; Chordata; Mammalia; Perissodactyla; Equidae. The record is from RNAcentral.
AGUCCUUUUCGGUUCUUCCAUGGGAGGCUGAGCUGGCUGGUGAUGGGCCCAGCAGGUCCCAGAAUUGAAGAAGCUGUUGGAUCACUGAGCAUUGUCAUCAUGCAGCUGCAAGGCUGUCCCACUGGGGAAAGUUUAGAUUUGUUCCUGGGCUCCAAACGGAAGGUGGGAAUUCCAGGGAAACAGAUUUUCACUGCUCUCAGGAGGAAUUUUCCAGUAGCGAGAGCGGUGCAGCAGUGGAAUGGAUCUCUUGAGAGUUGGACAGCUCUCUCUGGAUAGAAUACAAGAAAACCCCGCAUCCCCCAUUCACGGAAAUUCAUGAUUUCUGUGGUUGUCACCGGCACCCGGGCAGCGAGACACUGAGACGCUCCAACUACUCAGAGGUUGGCUUUCGGUGCCCAUCACCUGCUCUGCCCUGUACUAGGCACUGAAGGGGGACCCAGAGAUGGGCAGCAGCCCCCUCUGAAAAGAGCUGGAGGGCUCUUGGGCAAAACAAAGCAGCCCCACAUGAAAAAUUCUUGACAUCUUCAGCAGACCUGGAGCUGUCAUGGAGCUUUUUGUCUCCUUUAAUUGAAAAUUAAUGGUUACUGGGUUGCCACGGAAACAGAGGCCACGGACGCCAGUGGCGCUCACGUCUCACCGAGGGACUGCCGGCGUCAGGAGUCCGGAAUGACCUUGAAAGUUAAAAGAAAAAAAAAAACUUAAAAAAGAAGGGGAGAGGGGGGAAAUGAGGACAGGAGGCUGGGAGAGUGUGUCAGAGCUGAAAGAAGAGAGGAGAGAGAGAGAAGAGAAAGAAAGGAGAGAAAGGAAGAGGGAGAGAAAGGAGAGGAAAAGAAAAGAUAAGAAUUAAAAAGAGAAAAUUGCAGAGGUUGGGAGCAGGGAAGCUUGAGAGGGGACAUUAAAGUGGUAAGUUUUACCUCUUGGUUUUUGUCUCUUACAUUUUUUCUAAAGGCCCGUUGAAACACUGGGAGCUGGGUCUCAGCUCCAAAAUCCUUGAUUCUACAAAUCUGUGUGAGGAAGAAUGACAGCAUCGCCCAGAGCCCCCGAGGGGAAGUGACAAAGGCUCCUGGGUGCCAUGGGCAGCAGCAGCAGACCAGGGGGCAGGGUGGAGGUGUGCGGUGUGGGCACCUCCCCAGGGCCAAGUGGGCUGUGCUGUCGAAAACGGGGGCUGCAGAGGGGACUUUGUCAUGGGGAGCCCGGGAGCUGCCCCAACAUUGCUCCCGCAGCAGUGAGCAGGUGAAAGGGCUCUGUUGGCUGGGCCUUCAGCCUGAAGACACAACAAAAGAACUCAAAUGAGUCAGAGAUGGGGGUACGAUGACGAAGCGGGAGGGUCCUGGCAGGGGGAGGCCAGGGGUGGUUUGCCCAGGAAGAUAAGAGAUAAAGGGAGGCAGUUCUCUGAGCCUCUAGGACAGCCCUCCAGGGAGGCCAGUGGCUCUGGGCUUAGGAAUGUUUUUUCCCUAAGAGAAGGUGGCAGGCUCAACUUAGGGGCACUGGGGACCCCUGAGCAUUCUAGCAGGAAAGGUGGGCUCUUUCCUGAUCAGCCCACCAUACCAGUUCUUCAGUCCUGAGCAUCAGCUCCAGAAAUACAAUUCAAUUCAACAAUUACUGGAUGUCCACAGUGAACCAGGAGCCA